CGAGCGGGGGAGGGGAGAGWAAUGCUUGGGAACGUGCCUUGGGGUGGGGGACAACUGGUGGAAACCACUGCUAAUCCCGCAUAGUGUCUACGGACCAAGGGGGGCUUCGGCUCUCGCCUUUAUAGUGCCCCAUGUGGGAUUAUCUAGGUGGAGAGGUAAUGGCUCCCCGGGGAGACUAUCCCUAUCUGGUUUGAGAAGAUGAUCCCCCACUCUGGGACUGACACACGGCCCACACUCCUACGGGGGGCAGCAGUGGGGAAUAUUGCACAGUGGGCGCAAGCCUGAUGCACCCGUGCCGCGUGUGUGAAAAAGGCCUUCGGGUUGWAAAGCUCUUUCWCUCGAGAAGAAAGGUUAAUAGUUAAUGCCUGCUAUCUGUGACUUUUCUGACAAAAGAAGCCCCGGSUAACUCCGYGCCCACCCCCGCGGWUAUACAGAGGGCGCGAGCGUAUAUCAAUUUUUCUGGGUGUAAAGCGUACGCGCGCGUUUUGUUAAGCGAKAUGUGAAAGCCCCGGUCUCCMCCUGGACACUGCUUUUCAGACUGGMAAACUAGAGUGAGAUAGAGGGUGGUAGAAUUUCGGGUGUAGCGGAGAUAUGCGUAGAGAUCUGAGA
RNAcentral lists this ribosomal RNA (609 nucleotides) under Pseudoalteromonas sp. Its description in RNAcentral is "bacterial SSU rRNA". It matches the Rfam family "Bacterial small subunit ribosomal RNA", at positions 92 to 703 of the family's 1533-position model. The record is from RNAcentral. Lineage: Bacteria; Pseudomonadati; Pseudomonadota; Gammaproteobacteria; Alteromonadales; Pseudoalteromonadaceae.